Oryza rufipogon (brownbeard rice) is the source of this 148-nucleotide microRNA precursor. It matches the Rfam family "MIR812 microRNA precursor family". The record is from Rfam. NCBI's taxonomy places the organism in Eukaryota, Viridiplantae, Streptophyta, Magnoliopsida, Poales, Poaceae.
UUUAAGCGCGGCCACGAGUUUCUGCGUUCAAUUUUGAUCGUUCGUUUUAUUUGUAAUUUUAUAUGUGAUCUAUGUUUUAUUUUUUUAAAAAAAAACAAAUAAAAUGGACGAUUAAAGUUGGACAUGAAAACUCAUAAUUGAGUUUAAA